Molecule: ribosomal RNA, 437 nt
Filed under: uncultured bacterium
Lineage: Bacteria
Description: bacterial SSU rRNA
Rfam family: Bacterial small subunit ribosomal RNA
Source: RNAcentral
GCACAAUGGGCGCAAGCCUGAUGCAGCCAUGCCGCGUGUAUGAAGAAGGCCUUCGGGUUGUUAAAGUAUUUCUAGCAGUGAGGAAGGUGGGUAUGUUAAUAGCAUAUUCAUUUGACGUUAGCUGCAGAAGAAGCACCGGCUAACUCCGUGCCAGCAGCCGCGGUAAUACGGAGGGUGCGAGCGUUAAUCGGAAUUACUGGGCGUAAAGCGCAUGCAGGUGGUUUGUUAAGUCAGAUGUGAAAGCCCGGGGCUCAACCUCGGAAUUGCAUUUGAAACUGGCAAACUAGAGUACUGUAGAGGGGGGUAGAAUUUCAGGUGUAGCGGUGAAAAUGCGUAGAGAUCUGAAGGAAUACCGGUGGCGAAGGCGGCCCCCUGGACAGAUACUGACACUCAGAUGCGAAAGCGUGGGGAGCAAACAGGAUUAGAUACCCUGGUAG